This 418-nucleotide unclassified non-coding RNA is filed under the name Hevea brasiliensis (rubber tree). The record is from RNAcentral. Lineage: Eukaryota; Viridiplantae; Streptophyta; Magnoliopsida; Malpighiales; Euphorbiaceae.
UUGAAUUUAUUUAUUUAUUGGUGUAAUGGAUUGUGAUUGAAAUUUGAAUUUAAAAGUUCACAUGAAAAUGAUUUCAAUAUCACAUGAGAUUAAAGUUGUAUUUAUUAAAAUAAAAUAACCAAUACAUCGAACGACGUAUUGGAAAUUGUGGACCAGCAAGCUGUGUGAAGAUCUGGGCAAGAGUGGAUCCGACGCAGCACCGACGAUAUUACUGUGUUUUGUUAUCCAAUUAUUCUCCCAAAUGAAUUAUUUAGUAUCGUAAUUUGGAUUAAAUAGAUGUUUAUUUAAUAAGCGGCGUGGCUAACAUGAUUAUAUAUUUGAUUGACUGAGGAAAAAUGGAAGGGAAGAAGGAAAAGGAAAAACGAUGAGAGAGAAAGAAGAAACAGAAAAGUCCCCAUGUGUGGGGUUGAUGAAAAGG